RNAcentral lists this unclassified non-coding RNA (286 nucleotides) under plant metagenome. RNAcentral's name for it is "partial contains small subunit ribosomal RNA, internal transcribed spacer 1, and 5.8S ribosomal RNA". The record is from RNAcentral.
UAUCCGUAGGUGAACCUGCGGAAGGAUCAUUAAAGAUAGAUAAUAGAAGUCCUUGGGUAAGAGGGGGAAACCUCUCUUUCCAAGCUUCUAAACUCUAUAUUACCCCCCCUUCAUAAUGUGAACUUUGACGCGAGCAACAAAAGUAAAUGCCCCUAUUUACAAUAGGGGUUGUUGAAAAGCUUGUGAUCUUUUUUUAUCCUAUACACACAACACAGUCUAAUAGAAUGUAAUGAUAAUAACUAUUGAAAUAUAAAUAUAACUUUCAGCAACGGAUCUCUUGGCUCUC